AAAAUCUGUAUGAUUAUGACCUUUUAGCAAUUUGGUAUGAAUUUAUCACUUUGAGCUCUCUAUUAUAAGAAGGUCAAAUUGCACAAUCUUCUCUUGAUCAGGUCACCAGUGUGUGGAAGAUGAUGAGAUGAUGGAAAAAUCAAAAUGGAACGAGGAGAAUUCAUAUGUUAUUUACUUCCUGGACCUUUUUUCAUGGGAUAUCUAUAAGACAUCUUCCAGAAAAUAUCUUAUAAAAUACAGGUUUGAGAAAAAUGAUUUAUUGGAAAAAGCACUGGGCUUUUCAUAUUCCAGUCCUGCUACUGAGAUAGGAACAGAAGUACAGCUUGCUACUGGAUAAGAGCACCACCUACUUCGACGAGAGAGGGGAGAUGGCUGAUUUUCCCUCUGCCGGGGGUCCCACUAAAAGAUCCGCUGUCUGCAAGCUGGAGACCCAAGAAAGACAGAAGUGUAUUUCCAGUUCAAGUUCUACAGCCUGAGAACCAACUAAAGUACUGAUAGUGUAAGUCCCCAUCAGAGAACAGAAGAAACCCAAUGUCCCAGCUCAAGUAGUCAGGCAGAGACAGCAAAUUCUACCUCCUCCAUGUUUUUUUCUCUUAG
Molecule: long non-coding RNA, 597 nt
Filed under: Equus caballus (horse)
Lineage: Eukaryota; Metazoa; Chordata; Mammalia; Perissodactyla; Equidae
Description: lncRNA (ENSECAG00000050961.1)
Source: RNAcentral